GAAGGCAUCUUUUUAUUUUUAAAAGACCUAGCAAUAGGUAUGCUUAGGGAAGAGCUUGCGUCACAUUAGUUAGUUGGUGGGGUAAUGGCCUACCAAGACGAUGAUGUGUAGCCGGGCUGAGAGGUCGAACGGCCACAUUGGGACUGAGACACGGCCCAAACUCCUACGGGAGGCAGCAGUAAGGAAUUUUCGGCAAUGGAGGAAACUCUGACCGAGCAAUGCCGCGUGAACGAUGAAGUAUUUCGGUACGUAAAGUUCUUUUAUUAGGGAAGAAAAGAUGGUGGAAAAACCAUUAUGACGGUACCUAAUGAAUAAGCCCCGGCUAACUAUGUGCCAGCAGCCGCGGUAAUACAUAGGGGGCAAGCGUUAUCCGGAAUUAUUGGGCGUAAAGGGUGCGUAGGCGGUUAAAUAAGUUUAUGGUCUAAGUGCAACGCUCAACGUUGUGAUGCUAUAAAAACUGUUUAGCUAGAGUUGGAUAGAGGCAAGUGGAAUUCCGUGUGUAGUGGUAAAAUGCGUAAAUAUACGGAGGAACACCAGAAGCGAAGGCGGCUUGCUGGGUCUUAACUGACGCUGAGGCACGAAAGCGUGGGGAGCAAACAGGAUUAGAUACCCUGGUAGUCCACGCCCUAAACGAUGAGUACUAAACGUUGGAUAAAACCAGUGUUGAAGUUAACACAUUAAGUACUCCGCCUGAGUAGUACGUACGCAAGUAUGAAACUUAAAGGAAUUGACGGGACUCCGCACAAGCGGUGGAUCAUGUUGUUUAAUUCGAAGGUACCCGAAAAACCUCACCAGGUCUUGACAUGCUUUUGCAAAGCUGUAGAAAUACAGUGGAGGUUAUCAGAAGCACAGGUGGUGCAUGGUUGUCGUCAGCUCGUGUCGUGAGAUGUUGGGUUAAGUCCCGCAACGAGCGCAACCCUUGUUGUUAAUUGCCAUCAUUAAGUUGGGGACUUUAGCAAGACUGCCAAUGAUAAAUUGGAGGAAGGUGGGGACGACGUCAAAUCAUCAUGCCCCUUAUGACCUGGGCUACAAACGUGAUACAAUGGCUGUUACAAAGGGUAGCUAAAGCGUAAGCUUCUGGCGAAUCUCAAAAAAGCAGUCUCAGUUCGGAUUGAAGUCUGCAACUCGACUUCAUGAAGUUGGAAUCGCUAGUAAUCGCGAAUCAGCA
This 1168-nucleotide ribosomal RNA is filed under the name 'Syringa reticulata' phytoplasma. Its description in RNAcentral is "bacterial SSU rRNA". It matches the Rfam family "Bacterial small subunit ribosomal RNA", at positions 184 to 1354 of the family's 1533-position model. The record is from RNAcentral. Lineage: Bacteria; Bacillati; Mycoplasmatota; Mollicutes; Acholeplasmatales; Acholeplasmataceae.